AGGGCCCUUCCCUGGGCUCACCUUCUGCAGACAAAGCUGCAGGCUCUUCCUGCAUCCUCUCCCUUCAACAUCUCACUGGGAGCAUUGGCCACUGCCAGAGUGGAUGGCGCUCUUAAAUGGUGAACUCUAUUCUUCAUUCACUAACACAUUAAUUUAAAAAUUAGAAUCUUCCAUUGGUAAUGAAGUGGAGCAGCUGCAGAACAAAUUUUUGUUUUUUCACAUGUGUGACAACCGGUGGUGGAGCAGCAGAGAGGAGAAUUGGAAAUUAUAGUCUCCUAAAGCACUCCAAAAGGAUUUAUUAAACCACGUCAGUCAGAACCAGAAAGCGGAGUUGUAAGAGCUGUGGUUUUGUAUAAGAGGAAAAUUCUGUUGGUGUAAGAGUUGUUGCUUUUUUCUUAAGAGUUUGAAGCAUGAGUAGACUGAAGUCUUGUUUUGGGUAAAGAGAAAUCAACAGUUUGUACCAAAAGUGUUCUGAAGAUACAGAGAAGUACUGAGUAUUUUUGUUUAAUAUUUCAAUUAUUUUUGAGUGGGGAAGCAGUACAGCAAAGUCAGAUGGUCUGUUUGAUCCUAAUUUUGUGGUAGGAAUGCUUUUUGGUACCUUCCUGCAGACUGGUAUAUGUAGCAUCCAGGCUGGAAACACAGGGUGAGAUAAUGGAAUUGUUUAGGAGAGACUCGUGCCUGCCUUUCUGUGUGUGGGUUGGGCUGAAGUUCUCUAUCUGCUUUAUUUUGUUCAUUACCUUGUUGUGUGCUGCAGAGGGUGAGAGCAGUGAGUUAUCAGGCACAGCACUGAAGGGGAAGAUGAAGAUAGCCUUCUUGUCCCACAAGAAGUGGGAGGUGAAGCAGCAAUGACGGGAAGACUGAUUCAGGAAGAUAAUGCAGUAGCUUACAGCAUGGGGGACAGGAGAGCUCCUCGGAGGUGAGCAGCAGUUCUUGCAUGACCGGUGGCUCUCACCACACGUCGCUACCACACAGAAGUUCCUUGUUCGUGCAUGGUGGCCUUCAGACAGACCUGCUCAAAUUCCUGCAUUUUGGAAUGGGCUGCUUUGAGGAGGUUUUGUGUCACAAAAGAAUCCCAAGAAGGGGAAAAAAUAAAUAGUUUCUUGCUCUGGCCUGGCAAUUGCAAGCUUGGUGUUUCCUGCUCUCUACACACGGAAUCCUUGCCUCUGGCUAAGGUGUGGUACAUCCAGGAGCUGGGUCAGAAUGUUUACUUUGGUCAGAUAAGUGCAGGGAUUUUC
RNAcentral lists this long non-coding RNA (1235 nucleotides) under Cyanistes caeruleus (blue tit). Its description in RNAcentral is "lncRNA (ENSCCEG00000019514.1)". The record is from RNAcentral. Lineage: Eukaryota; Metazoa; Chordata; Aves; Passeriformes; Paridae.